GGUCGGAAGUUCAAGUCUUCCCAGGCCCACCACACUCAUCGAGUGAGCAUUCGUCUUCUGGUUACGGGGCCAUAGCUCAGCUGGGAGAGCGCGUGCUUUGCAAGCAUGAGGUCGUCGGUUCGAUCCCGUCUGGCUCCACCAGAUGGUUUGAUCACCGACUACUCAUACCGUCGUCCGCGAAACAUCACUUCGCACUUACUAGUCCGGAUGGACAGUAAGCUGCGUGAUUUCUGACAUCGUAAAGAGGAGAUCGAUCCGAGUUGGAUCGGGCAACAAGUAAUUGUUGCGCGAUACUUCAUUAUCUCCGGAUCAUUUCGGCGCUCGUGCGUCUUCCAGGGUAGCUCACAAGGCUGAUUGAAAGACGAGCGAGUUGUAAAUGAUCCUUUUAGCGAAGCUUGACCGCCUCGCUAUCGGAACGAUCUUACGAAGCAAGCUGGUCUUUCUAAUCAUUGUCCGGCUGCAGAUAGCGUUCAUCGAGGGCGCGUACCGCAAGGUAGUUCUGCAGACAACAUUCUGCCGAGUGUGUGGACAUUGAUAAUGAGAGC
This 545-nucleotide transfer RNA is filed under the name Bradyrhizobium sp. S2.57. RNAcentral's name for it is "partial 16S-23S ribosomal RNA intergenic spacer". The stretch from base 66 to 138 matches the Rfam family "tRNA". The record is from RNAcentral. Lineage: Bacteria; Pseudomonadati; Pseudomonadota; Alphaproteobacteria; Hyphomicrobiales; Nitrobacteraceae.